GACGAACGCUGGCGGCGUGCCUAAUACAUGCAAGUCGAACGCUGAAGGAGGAGCUUGCUUCUCUGGAUGAGUUGCGAACGGGUGAGUAACGCGUAGGUAACCUGCCUGGUAGCGGGGGAUAACUAUUGGAAACGAUAGCUAAUACCGCAUAAGAGUAGAUGUUGCAUGACAUUUGCUUAAAAGGUGCAAUUGCAUCACUACCAGAUGGACCUGCGUUGUAUUAGCUAGUUGGUGGGGUAACGGCUCACCAAGGCGACGAUACAUAGCCGACCUGAGAGGGUGAUCGGCCACAAUGGGACUGAGACACGGCCCAGACUCCUACGGGAGGCAGCAGUAGGGAAUCUUCGGCAAUGGGCGGAAGUCUGACCGAGCAACGCCGCGGGAGUGAAGAAGGUUGUCGGAUCGGAAAGCUCUGUUGUAAGAGAAGAACGAGUGUGAGAGUGGAAAGUUCACACUGUGACGGUAACUUACCAGAAAGGGACGGCUAACUACGUG
Molecule: ribosomal RNA, 495 nt
Filed under: uncultured bacterium
Lineage: Bacteria
Description: partial 16S ribosomal RNA
Rfam family: Bacterial small subunit ribosomal RNA
Source: RNAcentral